Rhinichthys klamathensis goyatoka is the source of this 90-nucleotide small nucleolar RNA. RefSeq annotates it as small nucleolar RNA SNORA5. NCBI's taxonomy places the organism in Eukaryota, Metazoa, Chordata, Actinopteri, Cypriniformes, Leuciscidae. The transcript has a single exon. The record is from RefSeq and is a predicted model, not a curated record.
GGCAGGCUUUUCCACUCUGCCAAACAAAUUCUACUAAGGGUACCAGUCUCUCGAGACUGGUCUCUGGUGUAAUUUGAGUAGCAAACACAG